Molecule: long non-coding RNA, 590 nt
Organism: Peromyscus eremicus (cactus mouse)
Lineage: Eukaryota; Metazoa; Chordata; Mammalia; Rodentia; Cricetidae
Exons: 4
Source: RefSeq, a predicted model, not a curated record
UAACAUGCUCCACAUUCUCUCACUCCAAAUUGUUUCUCUUCUUAGCUUUGAUCCCCACCUCACACACAGGCUACCUAGUCACCCUGCCUUCUCCAUUAGCAUUCAAGUUCCCUCACAGCAGGGCAUUUAUUGUCGGUUUGGAGUGUUUCUUGGUGAAUUCUCAGCGGCUGGAAUGGUACCCGUCACAUAAUAGAUGCUCAGUAAAAGUUUACUAACUCUUUCCAGGAGUCCACGGUUUUCUAUCUGGAAACAGCCAUCACCACACCCACGGCUUCAAGCUGGAGAAAAUGCCCCUGAAUCAUCCCAAUAUGUGAAGAGUCGGUAGAGCAGCAUGCAUACUGCGAAGGAGGCGAGCAUCUGCCAAGGUGGAGAGAGCGUCAGGUUUGAAUUAUCUGAAAAUGAGAAAGCUAAUCACUACGAAGUGAAGGAGAAGGGAGUGUCACCAUGUCACAGAGGACAGCAUCGUCAUCCAAAGAUCACGUGACUUCUGGGUGCUCACAGCGGUCAUGGUCGUGGAAAAUCACAAACCUUGAUGACUUCCAGGUCUGACUGUCUGUGGCUUCUCUGAGGCUCGCCCACCCCUCCCCCAC